AAUCAACGCUGGCGGCGUGCCUAACACAUGCAAGUCGAACGCGAAAGUCCCGCAAGGGAUUAGUAGAGUGGCAAACGGGUGAGUAACGCGUGGGUGACCUGCCUUCGAGCGGGGGAUAACGUCCCGAAAGGGACGCUAAUACCGCAUAACAUCCUGCCUUUUAAGUAGGUGGUGAUCAAAGCCGGGGAUUCGCAAGAACCUGGCACUUGAAGAGGGGCCCGCGCCUGAUUAGCUAGUUGGGGGGUAAUGGCCUACCAAGGCAACGAUCAGUAUCCGGCCUGAGAGGGCGGACGGACACACUGGGACUGAGACACGGCCCAGACUCCUACGGGAGGCAGCAGUGGGGAAUUGUUCGCAAUGGGCGCAAGCCUGACGACGCAACGCCGCGUGGAGG
Molecule: ribosomal RNA, 394 nt
Filed under: uncultured bacterium
Lineage: Bacteria
Description: bacterial SSU rRNA
Rfam family: Bacterial small subunit ribosomal RNA
Source: RNAcentral